CCUACGGGAGGCAGCAGUGGGGAAUUUUGGACAAUGGGCGAAAGCCUGAUCCAGCAAUGCCGCGUGUGGGAAGAAGGCCUUCGGGUUGUAAACCUCUUUUGUACGGAACAAAACGGUUUGCCCUAAUACUGUGGGCUAAUGACCGUACCGUAAGAAUAAGCACCGGCUAACUACGUGCCAGCAGCCGCGGUAAU
Molecule: ribosomal RNA, 194 nt
Filed under: uncultured bacterium
Lineage: Bacteria
Description: partial 16S ribosomal RNA
Rfam family: Bacterial small subunit ribosomal RNA
Source: RNAcentral